GUCAAUGGCUAUACCACCCUGAACAUACCUGAUCUCAUAAAACUCAGCAGGGUUGGACCUGGUUAGUAUUUGAAUGGGAGAAAUUUGGGGAGAAUUGACA
Molecule: ribosomal RNA, 100 nt
Filed under: Propithecus coquereli (Coquerel's sifaka)
Lineage: Eukaryota; Metazoa; Chordata; Mammalia; Primates; Indriidae
Source: RNAcentral